This 802-nucleotide ribosomal RNA is filed under the name uncultured Verrucomicrobiota bacterium. Its description in RNAcentral is "bacterial SSU rRNA". It matches the Rfam family "Bacterial small subunit ribosomal RNA", at positions 58 to 833 of the family's 1533-position model. Lineage: Bacteria; Pseudomonadati; Verrucomicrobiota. The record is from RNAcentral.
CAAGUCGAGCGGGAUAAUCAGGGUAGCAAUAUUCUGGUUGUUCAGCGGCGCAAGGGUGCGUAACACGUGGGUAAUUUGCCAUGAAGUCUGGAAUAACUUGCUGAAAGGCGAGCUAAUGCCGGAUGUGACUUCCGAAGGGCAUCUUUUGGAAUUCAAAGUUGGGGACCGUAAGGCCUGACGCUUCUUGAUAAGCCCGCGGUCUAUCAGCUAGUUGGUGAGGUAACGGCUCACCAAGGCUAAGACGGAUAGCUGGUCUGAGAGGACGACCAGCCACACUGGAACUGAGACACGGUCCAGACACCUACGGGUGGCAGCAGUCGAGAAUUUUUCACAAUGGGCGAAAGCCUGAUGGAGCGACGCCGCGUGGGGGAUGAAUGGCUUCGGCCCGUAAACCCCUGUCAUUUGCGAACAAACCUUACCGGUUAACAACCGGUGAGCUGAUUGUAGCGGAAGAGGAAGGGACGGCUAACUCUGUGCCAGCAGCCGCGGUAAUACAGAGGUCCCGAGCGUUGUUCGGAUUCACUGGGCGUAAAGGGUGCGUAGGUGGUGAGGUAAGUCGGAUGUGAAAUCUCCGGGCUCAACCCGGAAAUGGCAUUGGAAACUACCUUGCUAGAGGAUUUGAGGGGGGAUUGGAAUACUUGGUGUAGCAGUGAAAUGCGUAGAUAUCAAGUGGAACACCAGUGGCGAAGGCGAAUCCCUGGAAAAUACCUGACACUGAGGCACGAAAGCUAGGGGAGCAAACAGGAUUAGAUACCCUGGUAGUCCUAGCCCUAAACGGUGCUUGCUUGCUGUAAGAGGAAUC